Molecule: non-coding RNA, 516 nt
Organism: Vicia faba (fava bean)
Lineage: Eukaryota; Viridiplantae; Streptophyta; Magnoliopsida; Fabales; Fabaceae
Source: the annotation of a GenBank genome assembly
AUGGGCACAACCCUCAUUUCCCCAACAACAAACCCAACACACAUCAACCUCCCACCAACCCCACAGACAAAACAGAACCACAAAUACCCAACCACAGUCCCCACCACAACAAAAUUACACUCAAAUGCCCCACAACCAACCACAAUCACCACCUCAGUAUCAAUACCUCCAUAUGCCUCACAUCCAACCGCAAUACCAAUCACAAUACCAACACACCCGCAUACCUCACACACAAUUUCAGUCUUCCGUUAUCCCAAUAUGGGCCCCUCAACAUCCAGCCUUAGCCCUGAUCUGGGAAUGUCGGAAGAUUACGAACCAACCGACCCAGCUUACCAUCAACCACAGUAUCACCAAACCACCCAACAUCCUCAAUACCAAACACCCAAAGAUCCAUUUCCUUUCUACCCCCCGUGCUCAGACGAUCAAUGCUACAGACCCACCAUGGAACCCCACCCACCGCCAACACGACCAAACUUUAAGGGUAUGGGUAACCGACUGUACCAAAGCGGAUCUUCU